UUCGGGUUAGGCACACAUCACAGGUUCAAAUCGUGACAUUGACAAAAGCUUGAUAUUUAAGUGGAAAAGGGUAGAGAGAGAAGCUCCUUACCCACUGAUUUUCAAACCGUGUGAAACUUGCCUUGGGAAGUAUCUCAAUCAUCAAGAAGAGAAAGGAAUAUGAGCAUCCAACAAAGAUCUUAAAUCAGUCGGUGGAGUGACCCCAAAAUAUUUGUAAAACCCUCAAGACAUGUUGGACAAUUCAAUUUAGGGUUCACAUAUGAACUUCAAUACAGAGCUACGAGUGUGAGAAUGACUUGUUGAAGGUCUGGCUCUGCCACUUUGAUACCAUGGGAAAGAAAAAACGGAGCACCCAAGCAUUAAAGCAAUGGGUGGAGAAGCACAAAACCUUUAUAAACCUCUCUUAAAACAUCAAAUGGUCCUACUUCCCUUCGUGAUCAGCCUCAAAUGGUGUCCACAUCUUAAUAUGACAUAAAAGUUUUAGGAGGCCCAAAUUUUCUCCUCUCAAUACAAAUAUUAUCUCCAUUCUAUUUCACCGAACUAUAGAAGUCAACGGAAGACCUCAAAAUUUUCCCCAAUGAUUACUAACCAAUUACAUUUUGAAAUAACAUAAAUGAACAAGCAUGACAAAAUGACACAAAAGUUUUAAGAGGACCACAUUUUCUGCUCAUAAUACAAAUAUUACCUCCAUUCAAUUUCACUGAACCAUAAAAGUCAACGAAAUACCCCAAAAGUUUGCCCAACGAGUACUAAACCAAUUUACAUUUUUCAAAAACAUACACGAACAAGCAAAGGUAAAAGCAUAAGAAUUUGCUCAAGCCUCAAAGCUUGACUCAUUUAUAGCCCCUAUCCUUAUAAUCUCACAAGACAAAAACUGCCAAUUGGAAGUAUCAUCAAUCCUAGAACCUGACAAUCCACACUUAUACCCUGAGGAUGUAUUAAGAGCCUGUUUGGAUGGGCUUAUAAGCUGGUCAAACUGGCUUAAAAGCCAGUUUUUGACUUAUUAGAGUGUUUGGCAAUUAUCAAAGUGACUUAUUUUAAGUCAAAAAUGACUUAUUUUAAGCCAAAAGCUAAAAGCUAG
Molecule: long non-coding RNA, 1081 nt
Filed under: Solanum tuberosum (potato)
Lineage: Eukaryota; Viridiplantae; Streptophyta; Magnoliopsida; Solanales; Solanaceae
Description: long non-coding RNA (STUB_LNC003988)
Source: RNAcentral